This 4289-nucleotide ribosomal RNA is filed under the name Triticum aestivum (bread wheat). RNAcentral's name for it is "partial small subunit ribosomal RNA". The record is from RNAcentral. Lineage: Eukaryota; Viridiplantae; Streptophyta; Magnoliopsida; Poales; Poaceae.
GGAGGAGGGGGAGUUUCGGCGGUGUGGGUGGUAAGGGGAGAAGGCGGAGGAGGAAGGGCCUAGGCAUGAUGGCGUUGUGGGUGAGCAGAGGAGGAGAGAGAGAAGAUCGAAGGAGGAGGAAGUACUAGAGACGCAGCCGGCGUCGCACUCUCCUCGUCGCCGCUGCUACAGUUCAACGCUUCGCCACCGCGAACCCGCGCUCCGCCGUCUUCGUCGAUGGGGCCCGGGGCCAAACCCCCAAGCCAAGGUAUCGCGGCUGCCGAAGAGGCAGAUGUUGUGGCCCCGGUCGAUCACAAGCAGCACUGGUGUCGGCUGGUGGAGAGCAGCGAUCCCAGGUACUGCCGCCGGCCCAGUCCGAAUUCGCCUUGACGUCCUCCGGUACUUCCGGUGCCGCCGACGACCACCUUCGUCGCCCAAAACUUCCUCGCCAUCUACACCCAGGCGCCAACCCCUUCUGAGCGGCCGACCCGCUGCCGCUCGCGGCCACUACCGUUGCUUUCCUUCGGUCCGCAGCCCCAUGGCGUUGUUAAGCCCACGGACGCCGUACUGUCGUAACGUCUUCGUACGUCGCAAGAAGCUGCCGCUGUUCCUGCGCCAAAAAAAGGUAAGUUAAAAAAACCAAGGUACAAUAGACAUAGAACCACUUACAUGUUGCGAUUACAAGUCAAGUAACAGAGUCACAAAAAACCGCCUCCACACAAGAACAGAACGCUCCAAGUAGGUGGCAGCUGCUGUGGACGUUGAGCAAACCAUAUAAACCAAUUAGUAUUGGUCGUUUCUCCUCCUCAGCGUAUGCACGGACCAUAAGAAACACAACAUACUUCACAAGGAAGUUGAUUAGUUCGUUAGACUGUAAUCAUGAAACAAACUCGGUGGCGGCUUGCGAGUCGCUACCCAACUCAACCAACUCCACAUCCACCUCGUAAACGAGCGGCUCCUACCGUGCACGCGCUCGACUUCAUGCUGCGGCCGGUUGAAGCCGGAGACUCCGAAGGGACUGCGCGAGGAGAUGGUGAUGGAGGAGUUGUUGUUCCCGUUGAGACUACCGUCGGUCAACCUCAAACGAUACAAUGUAUACGUUCAGGAAAACUUUAGACUUUGAAGACACACCACUACUCAAAGACGAGUAGAACUAACUAAGUAGAGGUCACUUGCCCCUAAGCAGGAAGGUAACACGAGUCGGUGUUUGGCUAAACCUCCCCUUUAUCCUCUCGGACUGCUUAUACUCGUAUUAUAGAUACGUAUAAAACUCAAAAAAUUCGGAUCAUGAGAGAUAAAAAGUUAGAAUUUUAUCGUACGGUGUUCAAUUUUAUGUCUUUUAAUUCAGUGACUGGGUCAGACAUGUAUUAUAGAUACGUAUAAAACUCAAAAAAAAUUCUUAGAUAUACGAGUUUAUGAGUUAAACCGUGAACGGUAUGUCCGUUUUCACGAUGGAAUUUAAACAUCGAGACUAUUUUUUUAUUAAAGUUUGCAUAGACUACCAUUUUUUCUAUUACUGCCCUUUUGAUGUGUGGUAAGUAGGUUCACUUUCAGUCUCAAAGAGAAGACUUCUCAUGAAUGAUAUAUCUUGGUGUAGAAACAGUCCAAAUAAGACAUAUUGACCCUUAUGUACAAAGUCCUCGGAUAACAAAGACAACUAGCGUCAAUGAUAGAACACAUCCAACGUUAUAGACGGUCGAAACAUAAGAAAAACAGUUAAGACACAACCAUCCAACCAGGUAUGCCAUUUCGAAUUUUGAAGACUUUAUCUGUAGAUACCUAUACCUGUACGAUUUGUAAAAGUCCUUACAUUCUUCCGUCAUCAGAGAACUUUUCAGUAAACUAGAGCGUUCUCUCUUCGAAGGACCUUGUAAAUUAAUAAAAAGACAACACAAUAACUAAAGUGGUCAAAAUACAGUCGGCUAAUUAAGACUUCCUAAGAUUUGAAGGACUAUAUACAUAAAUCUCGUAAACGACUCUAAACUACGUUUUAUGAGUACCGGUCCGUAAUAUGACACGUAUUCGUGUUAAAAAGUCAAAAAGAAAAAGAACAACGCCGUCAAAAAGAUGUCGUUAUCGGUUAUCACACUGUAGUGUGAUGAGGUAAAAGUGUCCGGUACCUUGUUAUUUAUAGAACCGUUCCCUAUGGGAUACCAGAUGACAAUAUUGAUACACACGUGAAACCUAGAAAACCUACAGAACAAAUCGUAGGAAAAACUGUCUCAACUAAUUAAAUUAUCACUUUAUCAACCAAUACAGUCUACACAUUAUGACCAACACCAUAGAGUGUAAACAGUUUAUAAGUAUACAACGACCAUCAGUACGAAUACGGAUCCUAUAAUUCAUUGGAACACGAUACGACACUGAUUUAUUUUCGUUACAAAUCUGAAUAGAAAACAAAAGAGAUGAAUUUCUCAGGGCACAAAACGUCCCAGAUUGGUCCUUCCUAACACCCAAGUAUUAAAGUACGGUUCUGGGAUUUUCGUAAAAACAGAGAACGAAGCUGAUAGUAUAGAUAAAAGAGACAUUUAAGAUCUGGACGUCAAGUCUAAUACUAGAAACAUACGGGAAAAAAACAUGGAAGACUUCAUCCGAUUGUAAUGUUUUUUCUCGGUGUACAAAAUCUUUAACUUAAUACACCAGUGGUACUGUCGAAAAGUUCAAUACCAAGAAAUCGGUAAAUUACGUCAUAACUACCACAUCACACGAAGUACUUUACUUUAUAUCACGUAUCAAGCAGUCAAAACUCUGAAUGGGUGUAGAAAAACGAUGAGGAAAACGGGACGUGGUAUAAAAGAAUGUACAUAACGAAGUGGGCAGUGGUAUCUCCAGAAUGGAGUGGUCCUGGUACCUCGGCGAUCCUCAUGCUAGUUAUAUACUAGUAAGAAUCUCAACUUUAAGAUUAAAAGUGUAAAUUAGUUAAGGAAGUAGUUCACUCAGUAUCAUUUGGUGAUUUGUACUUAGAAUACACAUAUAUAAUGAAGAAGUAAACGGUGAAUAAAACAAGUUUUAUAAAAAUACUAUAAAGAUUUUUUCGAAUUCCAAUCUCUACGCCCCGAUAACAUCCUACCUUGUAUUUAAUUACAAUUUUAUAAAAAACUUAAAGGAAAUAUUUGAUGUUAUGUUCUAUACAAACCCGGUGUGCUAAGAUAAGGUUUUUAAAUUUGUUGAUCCGUUAACUGCUGUGUAGUUUACAAUACAUAACUAUAUCCAGUAUUACCAAAAUAAGAUACUGUUCGAAUUAAACGAAUAUUACAUUGGUAAAGUUCCUAACUGCUCAAAAAUUCGGUAUACUGGAAACGUGUGAGUUCAAUGUGCAACAUUUACCGAGUACAGAACGUGACAAAAGCGAAAGGUUCGAUGUCAGAAAACUAUAUGAGGAAGAUAUUUGAUUAUAUUCUGGUAAAUCUAGUGAUUCAAAUCGUUGGAAUUACCAAAAUAUAAUCAAAUGUCUCCCUCAUGAACUUUCCUGUAAGAAAUAUACAACAAACUAAGAUAGUCGGCAUGUUGGAUUUAAUUUUUCAUCCCUAGAUGCGUCACAUCACCUUGGUAACACGAACGACGUCAAAAUAAUAUCACAACUUUACAAAAUGAAUCAAAUAAGACAUGAAUUUUUAUAUAAAAAGGUCGGUAACAAAAGAUUUACAAAAGGAAUCAAAAUAAUAUGGACUAUACCGGAAACUUAUACGACUAUACCGGAAACUUCAAAGACAAGAUAUUGUUCGAAACGUGACCAGAUGAACUCGUACCAUACCAAGUAAGAAAAAACAACGUCGAUAAGGUCUCUUCAAAUCUCGAGGUGUUGGAAUACUUCUGAACUCAUCGUCUCUACUUUGUUAGUUAAUCUACUCUACGUAGUGUACUAAAAAAAAAGAGAACUGCAACUACCCAUAACUUGGAUAUCUAGUUGAAUAGUUACCUUGGGAAUAGUCACAACUCUUAUACCGUGUUUUUGAGUUUGUGUCCUGCUAGUCGGCUCCCUUCUUCGAUUCUUCGUAGUCCUUCCUGAAAAUCCUACCAUAACGCCAGUUUACGUAGGAUCCUAUCCAGAAAUUCUUAAUACCACACAAAGUGAGGAAAAAACAAAUGGAACGGUGUAAACAAUCGGAGUUAAACAAUAAUAGGAAGAUUUGUCCACGUCUUGAUUUUGAAUGGAUCCAACACUCUCGACUACCACUAAACUAACUUUCUAGACGAACGUAACAAACAGAGACAUCUGUUGUAUUGAUUCCGGUAUACCAAAGGUUACAGUGAUACUAGAUUUAAGAACGACUCACAUCAAAAAUUUCGUGUCUCAACGACUUUUAAAC